AUGUCUGCUCUUCGACUGGAGCAGUUCUUCCCUGUUGGUAAUCAGAGGAUACAUGCUACUAAUUCUUCAACUGAAAUUAAUUUUCAGUUUGAUCCAAGAGCAAAUCAUGAACCUCAAGUUUUCUUAGCACCUAUGCCAAAGAGAAGAAGAUUAGUUUCUUUCAAGAAUGAAAGAACUGGUACCAAAGGAACUGCUGUCAGUAAAAGACAUUAUGGGAAGCAAGCUGACACCCCACCGCAACCUGUGCCUAAAGCAAAUGAAGCAAGUGCAGGGGCCAACCCUUUUCUAUGGAGCACAAUUUCAAGCUCAUCAACCAACAUAACCUUUGGCACUAAUAGCAAUCGCACAUAUUGUGGACAGCUUCACAAUGUGUCCCUCACUGAGAAAUCACCAUGA
Molecule: ribosomal RNA, 396 nt
Filed under: Triticum aestivum (bread wheat)
Lineage: Eukaryota; Viridiplantae; Streptophyta; Magnoliopsida; Poales; Poaceae
Description: partial small subunit ribosomal RNA
Source: RNAcentral